AAGUCAUGUUGGCACAGAUAAAAGCUUCUAACUUCAUAUUUGAGAGGUUCAACUCCUUUCAUGACUUU
Molecule: transfer RNA, 68 nt
Filed under: Nereis zonata
Lineage: Eukaryota; Metazoa; Annelida; Polychaeta; Phyllodocida; Nereididae
Description: tRNA-Ser
Source: RNAcentral